This 443-nucleotide ribosomal RNA is filed under the name uncultured bacterium. RNAcentral describes it as "partial 16S ribosomal RNA". It matches the Rfam family "Bacterial small subunit ribosomal RNA", at positions 338 to 795 of the family's 1533-position model. The record is from RNAcentral.
CCUACGGGCGGCAGCAGUGGGGGAUAUUGGACAAUGGGGGGAACCCUGAUCCAGCGACGCCGCGUGAGUGAAGAAGUAUUUCGGUAUGUAAAGCUCUGUCAGCAGGGAAGAAAGAAAUGACGGUACCUGACCAAGAAGCCCCGACUAACUACGUGCCAGCAGCCGCGGUAAUACGUAGGGGGCAAGCGUUAUCCGGAUUUACUGGGUGUAAAGGGAGCGUAGACGGCAGCACAAGUCUGGAGUGAAAUGCCGGGGCUUAACCCCGGAACUGCUUUGGAAACUGUGCAGCUAGAGUGCAGGAGAGGUAAGUGGAAUUCCUAGUGUAGCGGUGAAAUGCGUAGAUAUUAGGAGGAACACCAGUGGCGAAGGCGGCUUACUGGACUGUAACUGACGUUGAGGCUCGAAAGCGUGGGGAGCAAACAGGAUUAGAUACCCCUGUAGUC